Molecule: ribosomal RNA, 437 nt
Filed under: uncultured bacterium
Lineage: Bacteria
Description: bacterial SSU rRNA
Rfam family: Bacterial small subunit ribosomal RNA
Source: RNAcentral
AUACGGGAGGCAGCAGUGGGGAAUAUUGCACAAUGGGGGAAACCCUGAUGCAGCGACGCCGCGUGAGUGAGGAAGUAUUUCGGUAUGUAAAGCUCUAUCAGCAGGGAAGAAAAUGACGGUACCUGACUAAGAAGCCCCGGCUAACUACGUGCCAGCAGCCGCGGUAAUACGUGGGGGGCAAGCGUUAUCCGGAUUUACUGGGUGUAAAGGGAGCGUAGGUGGUUGGAUAAGUCAGAUGUGAAAGCCCGGGGCUCAACCCCGGGACUGCAUUUGAAACUAUCCGACUAGAGUGCAGGAGAGGUAAGUGGAAUUCCUAGUGUAGCGGUGAAAUGCGUAGAUAUUAGGAGGAACACCAGUGGCGAAGGCGGCUUACUGGACUGUAACUGACACUGAGGCUCGAAAGCGUGGGGAGCGAACAGGAUUAGAUACCCGAGUAU